This 425-nucleotide ribosomal RNA is filed under the name uncultured bacterium. Its description in RNAcentral is "partial 16S ribosomal RNA". It matches the Rfam family "Bacterial small subunit ribosomal RNA", at positions 354 to 796 of the family's 1533-position model. The record is from RNAcentral.
GUUAGGAAUAUUGGACAAUGGGCGCAAGCCUGAUCCAGCCAUGCCGCGUGAGUGAAGAAGGCCUUCGGGUUGUAAAGCUCUUUCAGAUGUGAAGAUGAUGACGGUAACAUCAGAAGAAGCUCCGGCUAACUUCGUGCCAGCAGCCGCGGUAAUACGAAGGGAGCGAGCGUUGUUCGGAAUCACUGGGCGUAAAGAGUGCGUAGGCGGUUAUACAAGUCAGGAGUGAAAUCCCAGGGCUCAACCCUGGAAUUGCUUUUGAAACUGUAUAGCUAGAGUCCCGGAGGGGUUAAUGGAAUUCCGAGUGUAGAGGUGAAAUUCGCAGAUAUUCGGAGGAACACCAGUGGCGAAGGCGAUUAACUGGACGGGCACUGACGCUGAGGCACGAAAGCGUGGGGAUCAAACAGGAUUAGAUACCCGAGUAGUCC